AGCUUUGUGCAGUGGCAGUAUCAUAGCCAAGGAGAUUUAUCCGAGGGAAGAUUAUUGCUAAUUGGGAAAAAAAGGCAAAAAAUGUAUAAAAUGAUAAAAUUAUACUGAAGUGGCAAGUUUUAAAUGUUUUUUAAAG
RNAcentral lists this small nuclear RNA (136 nucleotides) under Myotis davidii. RNAcentral describes it as "U4 spliceosomal RNA". It matches the Rfam family "U4 spliceosomal RNA". From Rfam's summary of the family: U4 small nuclear RNA (U4 snRNA) is a component of the major U2-dependent spliceosome. The structure of U4 snRNA from yeast and human has been reported. The record is from Rfam by way of RNAcentral. Lineage: Eukaryota; Metazoa; Chordata; Mammalia; Chiroptera; Vespertilionidae.